RNAcentral lists this long non-coding RNA (481 nucleotides) under Parus major (Great Tit). Its description in RNAcentral is "lncRNA (ENSPMJG00000001364.1)". Lineage: Eukaryota; Metazoa; Chordata; Aves; Passeriformes; Paridae. The record is from RNAcentral.
CUGCAGGAUGACCUCGUUUCUGAAAUGUAAUUUUUCAUUUUCUGUCUCAUUUUGGGAGACUACAUUGUUUUAGUUGUGUACUUGGCAAUUUAGAGGAAGUAAUGAGACCUCCUGUGAAAUGAGGAAGCUGAAUUCCAGCGAGCUUUAGACAAGAGAUCUGCGUUCAGCACUACAGAAAUGAGUCAGCACAGCAGGAGUUUCUGUAAGAGUUUAUCCUGGUUAUCCUCAGGAUUAGAAGUGCUGCAGUUUGGAGAUGUAGAUGGUUUCUAAUUACAGGAUCAGAGGAGUGAGAGUGGUCUCUGACUCACUGGUAAAUGUGUGUUUGCUUUUGCUGCCUCUCUGGUGCUGUUGCCAGCAGAUGUCUCUCUUGAUUAUUGCACAGCACUGGAUUGAAAUCUGAUUUACUGCUCAUGGACAGCAGGGGUGUGCUUCACUGCAGCCCUCCCAAGGAGCUGCAGUCCUGCUCUGUGCAGGAAUGUAC